UGGGGAGUAUUGGACAAUGGGCGCAAGCCUGAUCCAGCCAUGCCGCGUGAGUGAUGACGGCCUUAGGGUUGUAAAGCUCUUUCGCACGCGACGAUAAUGACGGUAGCGUGAGAAGAAGCCCCGGCUAACUUCGUGCCAGCAGCCGCGGUAAUACGAAGGGGGCUAGCGUUGUUCGGAAUCACUGGGCGUAAAGGGUGCGUAGGCGGGAUCUUAAGUCAGGGGUGAAAUCCCGAGGCUCAACCUCGGAACGGCCUUUGAUACUGGGGUCCUUGAGUCCGGAAGAGGUGAGUGGAACUGCGAGUGUAGAGGUGAAAUUCGUAGAUAUUCGCAAGAACACCGGUGGCGAAGGCGGCUCACUGGUCCGGAACUGACGCUGAGGCACGACAGCGUGGGGAGCAAACA
This 402-nucleotide ribosomal RNA is filed under the name uncultured bacterium. RNAcentral's name for it is "bacterial SSU rRNA". It matches the Rfam family "Bacterial small subunit ribosomal RNA", at positions 355 to 774 of the family's 1533-position model. The record is from RNAcentral.